This 2892-nucleotide ribosomal RNA is filed under the name human gut metagenome. RNAcentral's name for it is "bacterial LSU rRNA". It matches the Rfam family "Bacterial large subunit ribosomal RNA". The record is from RNAcentral.
UCAAGCAAAAAAGAGCGCAGGGUGGAUGCCUUGGCACUAAGAGCCGAAGAAAGACGUGAUAAGCUGCGAAAAGCUGCGGGGAGGAGCAAAUAUCCACUGAUCCGCAGAUGUCUGAAUGGGGAAACCCGCAUGAGCAUACCUCAUGCAUCCAUACGCCAAUCCAUAACGUAUGGAGGGGAACCGCCUGAACUGAAACAUCUAAGUAGGGCGAGGAAGAGAAAGAAAAUUUAUCGAUUUCCAAAGUAGCGGCGAGCGAAAUGGAAAGAGGCCAAACCGGAGUGCGUGCACUCCGGGGUUCGGACCGCAUUUAAGAUUCAGUGAUUCUAGCAGAAAGGUUUGGGAAAGCCUGCCGGAGAGGGUGAAAGCCCCGUAAGCGAAAGGAGAGCUGACUGAGCGGAAUCCAGAGUACAUCGAGACACGAGAAACCUUGAUGGAAUGAGCGGGGACCACCCCGUAAGCCUAAAUACUCCUUAGUGACCGAUAGCGCAUAGUACUGUGAAGGAAAGGUGAAAAGGACCCCGGGAGGGGAGUGAAAGAGAACCUGAAACCCUGUGUUUACAAGCUGUGGGACAUCUUUACAUGAUGAACCGCGUACUUUUUGUAGAACGGUCCGGCGAGUUGCGGAUGCCGGCAAGGUUAAGCACUUAAGGUGUGGAGCCGAAGGGAAACCAAGUCUGAAGAGGGCGCAUAUAGUCAGUAUCCGCAGACCCGAAACCGGGUGAUCUACCCAUGUCCAGGUUGAAGUUGCCGUAAAAGGCAAUGGAGGACCGAACGCACAUCCGUUGAAAAGGGUGGCGAUGAGGUGUGGGUAGGGGAGAAAUUCCAAUCGAACCCGGAGAUAGCUGGUUCUCCUCGAAAUAGCUUUAGGGCUAGCCUCGUUUUAGUCUUAUGGAGGUAGAGCACUGAAUUUCCGCGGGGGCGUCAAAGCUUACCAAAGAAUAUCAAACUCCGAAUGCCAUGUAGAUGAUGAACGGGAGUCAGACUGCACGAGAUAAGUUGGGCAGUCAAAAGGGAAAGAGCCCAGACCGCCAGCCAAGGUCCCAAAGUGUGUGUUAAGUGGAAAAGGAUGUGGGAUCUCCAAGACAACUAGGAUGUUGGCUCAGAAGCAGCCACACAUUCAAAGAGUGCGUAACAGCUCACUAGUCGAGAGGUCCUGCGCCGAAAAUGUCCGGGGCUGAAACACAACACCGAAGCUGCGGAAUUGCGAAUGCAAUUGGUAGAGGAGCAUUCUUAAUACCGACGAAGCUGUACCGGAAGGAGCAGUGGAGGGAUAAGAAGAGAGAAUGCCGGAAUGAGUAGCGAGAGAGAGGUGGGAAUCCUCUCGGCCGAAUAUCCAAGGUUUCCAGAGUAAAGCUGAUCUGCUCUGGGUAAGUCGGGGCCUAAGGCGAGGUCGAAAGACGUAGCCGAUGGACAACAGGUUUAGAUUCCUGUACCGCAUAUAAACAGAACUGUGGGGACGCAUGGGGAGAGCAUGGGCCGGGAAUGGAAAUACCGGUGCAAGCGAAGGAGGUGUGCAGCCGGCAAAUCCGCUGCAUGAGCCGAAAGCGUGACGCGGAGCGAAAUGAAAGUAGCGAAGCAUGUGAGCCCUGUGCCGAGAAAAGCCGCUAUUGCUUUAUAUGUGCCCGUACCGUAAACCGACACAGGUGGAUGAGGAGAGAAUCCUAAGGCCGGCGGAAGAAGUAUUGUUAAGGAACUCGGCAAAAUGACCCCGUAACUUCGGGAGAAGGGGUGCCCACGGGAGUGGGCCGCAGAGAAUAGGCUCAAGCAACUGUUUAGCAAAAACACAGGUCUAUGCGAAACCGAAAGGUGAAGUAUAUGGGCUGACGCCUGCCCGGUGCUGGAAGGUUAAGAGGAGAGGUUAGCGCAAGCGAAGCUUUGAAUUUAAGCCCCAGUAAACGGCGGCCGUAACUAUAACGGUCCUAAGGUAGCGAAAUUCCUUGUCGGGUAAGUUCCGACCCGCACGAAAGGCGUAAUGAUUUGAGCACUGUCUCGACAAUGCAUCCGGUGAAAUUGAAGUACCAGUGAAGAUGCUGGUUACCCGCGCCAGGACGGAAAGACCCCAUGGAGCUUUACUCCAGUUUGGUACUGGGAUUCGGUACUGCACGUACAGGAUAGGUGGGAGACUUUGAAACUUGAACGCCAGUUUGAGUGGAGUCGCUGUUGGGAUACCACCCCUGCAGUAUUGGGUUUCUAACCAGUCACCGUGACCCGGUGAUGGGACAAUGCCAGGCGGGGAGUUUGACUGGGGCGGUCGCCUCCGAAAGGGUAUCGGAGGCGCUCAAAGGUUCCCUCAGAAUGGUUGGAAACCAUUUGAAGAGUGCAAAGGCAGAAGGGAGCUUGACUGCGACACCGACGGGUGGAGCAGGUACGAAAGUAGGACUUAGUGAUCCGGUGGUAUAAAGUGGGAUUGCCAUCGCUCAACGGAUAAAAGCUACCCUGGGGAUAACAGGCUUAUCACUCCCAAGAGUUCACAUCGACGGAGUGGUUUGGCACCUCGAUGUCGGCUCAUCGCAUCCUGGGGCUGUAGCAGGUCCCAAGGGUUGGGCUGUUCGCCCAUUAAAGCGGUACGCGAGCUGGGUUCAGAACGUCGUGAGACAGUUCGGUCCCUAUCCGGCGUGGGCGUAGGAUAUCUGAGAGGAGCUGUCCUUAGUACGAGAGGACCGGGAUGGACUGACCUCUGGUGCAUCGGUUGAGCCACCAGGCUCAUGGCCGAGUAGCCAAGUCGGGACGGGAUAAACGCUGAAGGCAUCUAAGCGUGAAGCCCCCCUCAAGAUGAGAUAUCCCAUACGCAAGUAGUAAGACCCCUUGAAGACGACGAGGUAGAUAGGGCAGAGGUGGAAGUGCAGUAAUGUACGGAGCUGACUGUUACUAAUCGGUCGAGGGCUUAUCCAG